RNAcentral lists this ribosomal RNA (496 nucleotides) under uncultured bacterium. RNAcentral's name for it is "partial 16S ribosomal RNA". It matches the Rfam family "Bacterial small subunit ribosomal RNA", at positions 28 to 506 of the family's 1533-position model. The record is from RNAcentral.
GACGAACGCUGGCGGCGUGCCUAAUACAUGCAAGUUGAGCGCUGAAGGUUGGUACUUGUACCAACUGGAUGAGCAGCGAACGGGUGAGUAACGCGUGGGGAAUCUGCCUUUGAGCGGGGGACAACAUUUGGAAACGAAUGCUAAUACCGCAUAAAAACUUUAAACACAAGUUUUAAGUUUGAAAGAUGCAAUUGCAUCACUCAAAGAUGAUCCCGCGUUGUAUUAGCUAGUUGGUGAGGUAAAGGCUCACCAAGGCGAUGAUACAUAGCCGACCUGAGAGGGUGAUCGGCCACAUUGGGACUGGGACACGGCCCAAACUCCUACGGGAGGCAGCAGUAGGGAAUCUUCGGCAAUGGACGAAAGUCUGACCGAGCAACGCCGCGUGAGUGAAGAAGGUUUUCGGAUCGUAAAACUCUGUUGGUAGAGAAGAACGUUGGUGAGAGUGGAAAGCUCAUCAAGUGACGGUAACUACCCAGAAAGGGACGGCUAACUACGU